This 769-nucleotide ribosomal RNA is filed under the name Physella acuta. Its description in RNAcentral is "12S ribosomal RNA". The record is from RNAcentral. Lineage: Eukaryota; Metazoa; Mollusca; Gastropoda; Physidae.
CCUUCUCAUUUUAUUCUAGUGAAGAUAUUAAAUUGAAAUAGCAAUUUGACAUGGAAUUUAUUGAGAAUCCAGCAAAAAACAUUAACUAAAUCUAGUAAUAGAAUUUUAGUGCAAUUUCAACAUAUUGUAACAAAUAAGGUGCCAGCAGUUGCGGUCAUACCUUAAACAAAUUUAAUAUCGUUAGAGUGGGACACAAAUGUAGGACUUUAAAAAAUUAAAAAGAUAGUAAAAUGUGUUUUAAUUAGUAUUAGCUAACAAAGUCUGAAUUUGUUAAUCUAAAAUACCCGAAACUUUAUAAAUUUUAGUAAACUAGGAUUAGAUACCCUACUAUAAAAAGCAAAAAUUAAAACUCUAAGCACUAAAACCGAAUUAUGGUUAAAACUUAAAGAUUAUGGCGGCAGUCUAAAUUAUUCAGGGGAACUUACCAGAUAAUAGAUAACCCCCAAGCAAUUCUACUUAACUUAAUAGUUUAUAUAUUGCCGUUUAGGACUUACUUAAAGUAUGCCCAAUCAUUUAUUAAACAAAUUUAAUACAGGUCAUGGUGUAGCAAAUAGUUAAGCCGUUAAGGUGAGUUACAAUAUUAUUUUUUUUCAGGUGUGAUCUUAAACAGAUCACAAAUAGUUGGACUUGAAAGUAAAGAUACAUAUCAUGUAAUGAUUAAAUCUUGAAUAUUAUAUUAGAUUGUGCACAAAUCGCCCGUCACUCUCGUAAUUUACUACAAAACAAACGAGAUAAGUCGUAACACAGUAGGUGUAAAUGAAUUUGUACC